This 2424-nucleotide long non-coding RNA is filed under the name Equus caballus (horse). RNAcentral's name for it is "lncRNA (ENSECAG00000059462.1)". The record is from RNAcentral. Lineage: Eukaryota; Metazoa; Chordata; Mammalia; Perissodactyla; Equidae.
AUAGGCAGAGCCACUAUCUAGACUUUCUGCUCACAAGUGCUCCCAGACCAAGAAGUUUCUCAGGUGUUCAGGCAGGCUUCCUGGUCAGACAGGGCUGUGAAUUGGAGCUAUGAAUUAGCUCCCCACCUGGGCAGGGUGGCAGAACUGGCUCUAAGGCCAACAAGGCUCUUUAUUGGGGAUCUUGAUUCAAGGAGAACCACAUCCCACAUUUCCUGGAUAAAUGGGGCCACCUGCUUUGCUCUGCUAAUGGGCAGCACUGCCAGCCAGGUUCUCCACUUGUGUGUUGCUGGGCUAGGCAGCUUCCCAGAUGUUCUGGGAAGUCUUCCUUGUCAGGUGGGGCCAGGACCUACACUCAACAAUGGUCAGGGCUGUCAAUUAACCCACCUGCUCAGGCAGUGCAGGAGAACCAGCUCCAAAGCCAGAACAGCUCUGUGUUUGUGGUCUUGACUGAAGCCAAACCACGCCUCAAGUUCCCUGGCCAAAGAGGACCACUGGCUUUGCUCUGCAGAUGAUCAGCUCUGCCUACCAGGCUCUGCACUCAGGAGUUGCUGGGCUGAGCAACUUCGCCCAUAGUUCCAGCCAGGUUUUCUGGUCAGGAGGGGCUGAAAGCUACACUGAGCAGUGGUUGAUGGGGUUGUUAUUUAGUUCCUCUGCCUGGGCAGAUGGGCAGCCCAGCCUCCAGGGAUGGCAAGGUUCUUUGAGGUCCCAAAUAAGGCAGAUGUGCACCCCUCUGAGUUCCUUGGUCAGACUAUGCCACCAUCUUGGCUCUACGGAUGAAAAAAGCUGCUGGUUGGGACUACUUGGGCACUGCGAGUAUGAACUCAGUCUGCCAAGAUCCGAAUGCUCGUUACUGCAAGCCCCUCCCCCCUUCUCUGUCACAAUCUGAUUCCCAGGAGUCAAGCUCCACAGAUUCCUCCAUGAGGCGAGACUGGAGUGGGACUCCCAGUAAGCAACGCACAAGGCUGGGGGAGCUGGAUGUCCACCCUGGGCUCCCUUUUCCCACUGGAGGAACCACAGGCUCAGGAGAGCCCUCUUGAUUUAAAGAACCCUCUCUCUCUCUUUCUCUCUCUCUUGUUGCAUCAUCUAUAACUCACAGCCAUUUGGUAAAAUAUGCCUUUAUAAACAAAGGUUAAAACAUUUAUCUUUUUCUCUCUACUUGAUCUUUGCAGAAUUUAAAAACACUUAUUAAAUAUUCUUAUUUUUCAUGAUAAUAUAGAUGUUUGCAUAAAUUGAAAAAUAAUCUGCUCUCCUUGUAACAGAACAGAAUUAGGCAAGUCCUUAGCAUAGCUUCUUAGCCUAAAGAGACUUUUAAAGAUCUAAUCUAAGAUUCUUUAUUACCAGAUGGUUUUAAAGAACAAUCGUUGACUUUAUGGAACCUAUAAAGUCCCUUGGAGAUUACCAAAGCUUUGACGGGAAUAUCAUAUUUGAGAAUAUGCAUAAAAGAUUAUUCUUACUACAUUUAUGUAAAUCAUCUGCCAAGUUUAUUGAGACUAGACUCAUUUUACAAACAAAGUAGUCUUACUGUGAUUAUCUUUGGCAAAAAUGAAUGACAUUAGAGAAAAAUUUGUUUCAAUAGAAAACUAUAAUGUCCCCAUGAUGAGAUUCUAGACCUGUUCAUUGUCUGAGUUUUUGUUAUAUACUUACAAACUGGACUGGAUCAUGAAUUCUUCUAGUUUCCUCCAGUAUUUGGCUGCAACUCUUCAGACUAGCUUUUCCAAUUUUCUUCUACUCUUCUGACUUGCAAUCACUAAAAAUGAAAACGACCCUUUUCCCAAAGUCCUAAAACUGAAGGUAGAUGACUUAAUAUAACCUUUAGAGAACUCGCCAUAACACGCCAUGGAUGGACACUCUUCAUGCCUGUUGCUGUGUGGGCCACUCAGACAGUUCACCAGAACACUCGUUGCCAUCAUCAAGGACAGUUAAACUGCAACCCAGGAGAACCCAUCGGAUUGAAAGUGUCAUCCUCAUUCCACCAUGUAAAGAUGCUUUGAAAUUAAAUCUAGAAGUUUUCUCAACUGGCUGCAUUCUGGACUCAAAAACUGUUUGUAAUUUGCUGCCACUAUGAACCUUUGUUUUUCUCUUGUUUCCACAGAUUGCUUUUAUUAGAUGCCAGAUUUCUCACACCAUUUAGAGGCCUAACUCAGGUGGAAGCUACCUGCAAUACUGCCUCCUGAAAUGACAUCCUCAUGUUUAUCGUGUUCUAUGUAAACAUGAGUAUAUGUUAUUGCUAAUAUAGCACACUGUGCCUAUGUAAAUAACUCAAAAAUGAAAUCCAAUUACACAUUAUCAAAAAAAUGCAGAUUGGCUUAGAAAGGUAAAACCUGAAUCUGAUUAUAACUUAUUUGAUUUUUUUAGUUGGUAACACCUUGGCUCCUGGGAAUCUCUGUUCUUGGGAACUUUUAAUCCUUGGCUAUUAUUCUCCCU